This 538-nucleotide ribosomal RNA is filed under the name uncultured bacterium. Its description in RNAcentral is "bacterial SSU rRNA". It matches the Rfam family "Bacterial small subunit ribosomal RNA", at positions 770 to 1302 of the family's 1533-position model. The record is from RNAcentral.
ACUCAAUAGAUACCCUGGUAGUCCUGGCAGUAAACGGUGCGCGUUUGGUGUGGGAGGAAUCGACCCCUUCCGUGCCGGAGCUAAACGCGUUAAACGCGCCGCCUGGGGAGUACGGUCGCAAGAUUAAAACUCAAAGAAAUUGACGGGGGCCCGGCACAAGCGGUGGAGUAUGUGGCUUAAUUCGAUGCAACGCGAAGAACCUUACCUGGGCUUGACAUGCAUCUCUAAGUCGGUGAAAGCCGGCGACUCCCGCAAGGGAGAAUUUGCACAGGUGCUGCAUGGCUGUCGUCAGCUCGUGUCGUGAGAUGUUGGGUUAAGUCCCGCAACGAGCGCAACCCUGUGGCCUGUUGCCCCCGACCCGCGAGGGUCGAGCACUCUGGCCAGACUGCCCUGUGAAACGGGGAGGAAGGUGGGGAUGACGUCAAGUCAGCAUGGCCCUUACGCCCAGGGCUGCACACGUACUACAAUGCUCAGUACAGAAAGAACCGAGACCGCGAGGUGGAGGAAAUCACGAAAACUGAGCCCAAUUCGGAUCGCA